Molecule: long non-coding RNA, 398 nt
Filed under: Phoenix dactylifera (date palm)
Lineage: Eukaryota; Viridiplantae; Streptophyta; Magnoliopsida; Arecales; Arecaceae
Description: long non-coding RNA (PDAC_LNC007506)
Source: RNAcentral
GACGUGCAUGUGCUUGUAAUAUGACCUAAUUAGAAUCCAUGAUCAUCACCUAUUUAAAGUUUAGCUUUAUUCAUUACUGCGAUUAUAACUGCCUGCGAUGUGCCGUUUGCAUGUGAUGUGAAUGAGAGCGGGGUAGAUAGGUUUACAUGUGAUGUAGCAAACCCAAUGAGACCUAAACUAAAACCUCCUCAAUCAAGUCGAGAGUGAACCAACAUGAGCGAGUCAUAUUAGAUUAAUUAAUCUAAUUGGUAUCUAGGAAAGCAUGAAAGGUGGUUACUUAAUUAGGACCUUACUCUCUGAGUAAGGGGAGCCUCCCACCUGCUUACCUGGCCAAUUAUUCGAUUACCUCUUAUGAAGAGCUCAAGAUUGCAAACACUAAGACAUGAUUAACCAAUAUU